This 253-nucleotide ribosomal RNA is filed under the name uncultured bacterium. Its description in RNAcentral is "partial 16S ribosomal RNA". It matches the Rfam family "Bacterial small subunit ribosomal RNA", at positions 524 to 776 of the family's 1533-position model. The record is from RNAcentral.
UACGUAGGGGGCUAGCGUUGCUCGGAAUCACUGGGCGUAAAGCGCACGUAGGCGGAUCUUUAAGUCAGGGGUGAAAUCCUGGAGCUCAACUCCAGAACUGCCUUUGAUACUGGGGAUCUCGAGUCCGGAAGAGGUGAGUGGAACUCCGAGUGUAGAGGUGAAAUUCGUAGAUAUUCGGAAGAACACCAGUGGCGAAGGCGGCUCACUGGUCCGGUACUGACGCUGAGGUGCGAAAGCGUGGGGAGCAAACAGG